UAGGGAAUCUUCCACAAUGGACGCAAGUCUGAUGGAGCAACGCCGCGUGAGUGAAGAAGGUUUUCGGACCGUAAAGCUCUGUUGUUGGUGAAGAAGGAUAGAGGUAGUAACUGGCCUUUAUUUGACGGUAAUCAACCAGAAAGUCACGGCUAACUACGUGCCAGCAGCCGCGGUAAUACGUAGGUGGUAAGCGUUGUCCGGAUUUAUUGGGCGUAAAGCGAGCGCAGGCGGAAGAAUAAGUCUGAUGUGAAAGCCCUCGGCUUAACCGAGGAAUUGCAUCGGAAACUGUUUUCUUGAGUGCAGAAGAGGAGAGUAGAACUCCAUGUGUAGCGGUGGAAUGCGUAGAUAUAUGGAAGAAUACCAGUGGCGAAGGCGGCUCUCUGGUCUGCAACUGACGCUGAGGCUCGAAAGCAUGGGUAGCGAACAGGAUUAGAUACCCCUGGUAGU
RNAcentral lists this ribosomal RNA (447 nucleotides) under uncultured bacterium. RNAcentral describes it as "partial 16S ribosomal RNA". It matches the Rfam family "Bacterial small subunit ribosomal RNA", at positions 355 to 794 of the family's 1533-position model. The record is from RNAcentral.